UAAAGAAUUUCGGUAUGGGAUGGGGAUGCGUUCCAUUAGUUAGUUGGCGGGGUAACGGCCCACCAAGACAACGAUGGAUAGGGGUUCUGAGAGGAAGGUCCCCCACAUUGGAACUGAGACACGGUCCAAACUCCUACGGGAGGCAGCAGUGAGGAAUAUUGGUCAAUGGACGAGAGUCUGAACCAGCCAAGUAGCGUGAAGGAUGACUGCCCUAUGGGUUGUAAACUUCUUUUAUAUGGGAAUAAAACGUUCCACGUGUGGGAUUUUGUAUGUACCAUAUGAAUAAGGAUCGGCUAACUCCGUGCCAGCAGCCGCGGUAAUACGGAGGAUCCGAGCGUUAUCCGGAUUUAUUGGGUUUAAAGGGAGCGUAGGUGGAUUGUUAAGUCAGUUGUGAAAGUUUGCGGCUCAACCGUAAAAUUGCAGUUGAAACUGGCAGUCUUGAGUACAGUAGAGGUGGGCGGAAUUCGUGGUGUAGCGGUGAAAUGCUUAGAUAUCACGAAGAACUCCGAUUGCGAAGGCAGUUCACUGGACUGCAACUGACACUGAGGCUCGAAAGUGUGGGUAUCAAACAGGAUUAGAUACCCUGGU
This 588-nucleotide ribosomal RNA is filed under the name uncultured bacterium. Its description in RNAcentral is "bacterial SSU rRNA". It matches the Rfam family "Bacterial small subunit ribosomal RNA", at positions 202 to 791 of the family's 1533-position model. The record is from RNAcentral.